This 2443-nucleotide ribosomal RNA is filed under the name Escherichia coli. RNAcentral's name for it is "bacterial LSU rRNA". It matches the Rfam family "Bacterial large subunit ribosomal RNA", at positions 398 to 2826 of the family's 2925-position model. The record is from RNAcentral. Lineage: Bacteria; Pseudomonadati; Pseudomonadota; Gammaproteobacteria; Enterobacterales; Enterobacteriaceae.
UGUGAGCUCGAUGAGUAGGGCGGGACACGUGGUAUCCUGUCUGAAUAUGGGGGGACCAUCCUCCAAGGCUAAAUACUCCUGACUGACCGAUAGUGAACCAGUACCGUGAGGGAAAGGCGAAAAGAACCCCGGCGAGGGGAGUGAAAAAGAACCUGAAACCGUGUACGUACAAGCAGUGGGAGCACGCUUAGGCGUGUGACUGCGUACCUUUUGUAUAAUGGGUCAGCGACUUAUAUUCUGUAGCAAGGUUAACCGAAUAGGGGAGCCGAAGGGAAACCGAGUCUUAACUGGGCGUUAAGUUGCAGGGUAUAGACCCGAAACCCGGUGAUCUAGCCAUGGGCAGGUUGAAGGUUGGGUAACACUAACUGGAGGACCGAACCGACUAAUGUUGAAAAAUUAGCGGAUGACUUGUGGCUGGGGGUGAAAGGCCAAUCAAACCGGGAGAUAGCUGGUUCUCCCCGAAAGCUAUUUAGGUAGCGCCUCGUGAAUUCAUCUCCGGGGGUAGAGCACUGUUUCGGCAAGGGGGUCAUCCCGACUUACCAACCCGAUGCAAACUGCGAAUACCGGAGAAUGUUAUCACGGGAGACACACGGCGGGUGCUAACGUCCGUCGUGAAGAGGGAAACAACCCAGACCGCCAGCUAAGGUCCCAAAGUCAUGGUUAAGUGGGAAACGAUGUGGGAAGGCCCAGACAGCCAGGAUGUUGGCUUAGAAGCAGCCAUCAUUUAAAGAAAGCGUAAUAGCUCACUGGUCGAGUCGGCCUGCGCGGAAGAUGUAACGGGGCUAAACCAUGCACCGAAGCUGCGGCAGCGACGCUUAUGCGUUGUUGGGUAGGGGAGCGUUCUGUAAGCCUGUGAAGGUGUACUGUGAGGUAUGCUGGAGGUAUCAGAAGUGCGAAUGCUGACAUAAGUAACGAUAAAGCGGGUGAAAAGCCCGCUCGCCGGAAGACCAAGGGUUCCUGUCCAACGUUAAUCGGGGCAGGGUGAGUCGACCCCUAAGGCGAGGCCGAAAGGCGUAGUCGAUGGGAAACAGGUUAAUAUUCCUGUACUUGGUGUUACUGCGAAGGGGGGACGGAGAAGGCUAUGUUGGCCGGGCGACGGUUGUCCCGGUUUAAGCGUGUAGGCUGGUUUUCCAGGCAAAUCCGGAAAAUCAAGGCUGAGGCGUGAUGACGAGGCACUACGGUGCUGAAGCAACAAAUGCCCUGCUUCCAGGAAAAGCCUCUAAGCAUCAGGUAACAUCAAAUCGUACCCCAAACCGACACAGGUGGUCAGGUAGAGAAUACCAAGGCGCUUGAGAGAACUCGGGUGAAGGAACUAGGCAAAAUGGUGCCGUAACUUCGGGAGAAGGCACGCUGAUAUGUAGGUGAAGUCCCUCGCGGAUGGAGCUGAAAUCAGUCGAAGAUACCAGCUGGCUGCAACUGUUUAUUAAAAACACAGCACUGUGCAAACACGAAAGUGGACGUAUACGGUGUGACGCCUGCCCGGUGCCGGAAGGUUAAUUGAUGGGGUCAGCGCAAGCGAAGCUCUUGAUCGAAGCCCCGGUAAACGGCGGCCGUAACUAUAACGGUCCUAAGGUAGCGAAAUUCCUUGUCGGGUAAGUUCCGACCUGCACGAAUGGCGUAAUGAUGGCCAGGCUGUCUCCACCCGAGACUCAGUGAAAUUGAACUCGCUGUGAAGAUGCAGUGUACCCGCGGCAAGACGGAAAGACCCCGUGAACCUUUACUAUAGCUUGACACUGAACAUUGAGCCUUGAUGUGUAGGAUAGGUGGGAGGCUUUGAAGUGUGGACGCCAGUCUGCAUGGAGCCGACCUUGAAAUACCACCCUUUAAUGUUUGAUGUUCUAACGUUGACCCGUAAUCCGGGUUGCGGACAGUGUCUGGUGGGUAGUUUGACUGGGGCGGUCUCCUCCUAAAGAGUAACGGAGGAGCACGAAGGUUGGCUAAUCCUGGUCGGACAUCAGGAGGUUAGUGCAAUGGCAUAAGCCAGCUUGACUGCGAGCGUGACGGCGCGAGCAGGUGCGAAAGCAGGUCAUAGUGAUCCGGUGGUUCUGAAUGGAAGGGCCAUCGCUCAACGGAUAAAAGGUACUCCGGGGAUAACAGGCUGAUACCGCCCAAGAGUUCAUAUCGACGGCGGUGUUUGGCACCUCGAUGUCGGCUCAUCACAUCCUGGGGCUGAAGUAGGUCCCAAGGGUAUGGCUGUUCGCCAUUUAAAGUGGUACGCGAGCUGGGUUUAGAACGUCGUGAGACAGUUCGGUCCCUAUCUGCCGUGGGCGCUGGAGAACUGAGGGGGGCUGCUCCUAGUACGAGAGGACCGGAGUGGACGCAUCACUGGUGUUCGGGUUGUCAUGCCAAUGGCACUGCCCGGUAGCUAAAUGCGGAAGAGAUAAGUGCUGAAAGCAUCUAAGCACGAAACUUGCCCCGAGAUGAGUUCUCCCUGACUCCUUGA